CGUAACAAGGUCUCCGUAGGUGAACCUGCGGAGGGAUCAUUA
This 42-nucleotide ribosomal RNA is filed under the name Curvularia lunata. RNAcentral's name for it is "partial 18S ribosomal RNA". It matches the Rfam family "Eukaryotic small subunit ribosomal RNA", at positions 1790 to 1831 of the family's 1831-position model. The record is from RNAcentral. Lineage: Eukaryota; Fungi; Ascomycota; Dothideomycetes; Pleosporales; Pleosporaceae. RNAcentral also lists the same sequence under 31 other names.